ACUGUACAGUAGAGUUUGAUCCUGGCUCAGAUUGAACGCUGGCGGCAUGCCUUACACAUGCAAGUCGAACGGCAGCGCGGGGCAACCUGGCGGCGAGUGGCGAACGGGUGAGUAAUAUAUCGGAACGUACCCUGGAGUGGGGGACAACGUAGCGAAAGUUACGCUAAUACCGCAUACGAUCUAAGGAUGAAAGUGGGGGACCUGCAAGGGCCUCAUGCUCCUGGAGCGGCCGAUAUCUGGAUUAGCUAGUUGGUGGGGUAAAGGCCUACCAAGGCAUCGAUCAGUAGCUGGUCUGAGAGGACGACCAGCCACACUGGGACUGAGACACGGGCCCAGACUCCUACGGGAGGCAGCAGUGGGGAAUUUUGGACAAUGGGCGCAAGCCUGAUCCAGCAAUGCCGCGUGAGUGAAGAAGGCCUUCGGGUUGUAAAGCUCUUUUGUCAGGGAAGAAACGGAUUUUUCUAAUACAGAGAUCUAAUGACGGUACCUGAAGAAUAAGCACCGGCUAACUACGUGCCAGCAGCCGCGGUAAU
This 533-nucleotide ribosomal RNA is filed under the name uncultured Oxalobacteraceae bacterium. RNAcentral's name for it is "bacterial SSU rRNA". It matches the Rfam family "Bacterial small subunit ribosomal RNA", at positions 1 to 524 of the family's 1533-position model. The record is from RNAcentral. Lineage: Bacteria; Pseudomonadati; Pseudomonadota; Betaproteobacteria; Burkholderiales; Oxalobacteraceae.